CUUCCACUCAAUCAAGCAGGCACACACACUUCCACCAAACAGAAGAAUGCUUUUAAGCCAUGGUGGUGCUCCUGGGAGCAGUGUGACAUUUUCACGAUGGGCAGCUGGAAGUUUUACCCUGUUGAAGUGACGGUUCCUGGUGAGUCCAAACCCACACAAAUCAGAGGAUGAAACAGGCUACGUAAAGCCAAAAUUCCAGACACAGUUCUUAAAUCUUUCCCAGAAACAGAGUGGCACUGAAGAAAAGCUUGAAAAAAUUCUUAUUCCUUUGGAAAUAGAGUCCUCCAUUUUGCCAUCUGUCUUCAUCAGACUUAUCCUGACCAGAAGCAUUUAAAAUA
Corapipo altera (White-ruffed manakin) is the source of this 338-nucleotide long non-coding RNA. RefSeq lists it as uncharacterized. Lineage: Eukaryota; Metazoa; Chordata; Aves; Passeriformes; Pipridae. The transcript is spliced from 3 exons. The record is from RefSeq and is a predicted model, not a curated record.